UGUAGAAUUCCAGCUUUGGGUGUUGGUGGUGAGGUUUAAUGUCUCUUCCUUGA
RNAcentral lists this transfer RNA (53 nucleotides) under Stenella attenuata (bridled dolphin). RNAcentral's name for it is "tRNA-Pro". Lineage: Eukaryota; Metazoa; Chordata; Mammalia; Artiodactyla; Delphinidae. The record is from RNAcentral.